CGUUGUAAACUUUACGGAAUUUCCAAGGAGAUUGGUAAUAACUUGUCGAAGCUUUGCAGAAUCACCAGCCAAUAAAGCUGGAACAUUCGGAUAUAUGUCGUAUGAAAUUUGAACAGGUUUAGAAGAAAGAGAAGGGUAUACUAACUCAAUGCAAUCUGCAAUAUUCUCUUCAACAUCAAAGACUUUGUCAGGCUCAAGUUUCAUUUUGCCUGACUUCAAUUCGCUGAAGUUCAAUAGAUCAUCUAUAAUUUGGACCAACGAUGUGCAACUCUGUUUAGCAGUGCUAACUAUGUCAUACUGCUCUUCAUUUAAUUUGGUAUCACUAAGCAGAGAAAGCAUCCCAUAAAAACUCGAAAACGGAGU
This is a non-coding RNA of Schizosaccharomyces pombe (fission yeast), 363 nucleotides long. The record is from the annotation of a GenBank genome assembly. NCBI's taxonomy places the organism in Eukaryota, Fungi, Ascomycota, Schizosaccharomycetes, Schizosaccharomycetales, Schizosaccharomycetaceae.